AGAGUUUGAUCAUGGCUCAGAUUGAACGCUGGCGGCAGGCCUAACACAUGCAAGUCGAACGGUAGCACAGAGAGCUUGCUCUUGGGUGACGAGUGGCGGACGGGUGAGUAAUGUCUGGGAAACUGCCCGAUGGAGGGGGAUAACUACUGGAAACGGUAGCUAAUACCGCAUAACGUCGCAAGACCAAAGUGGGGGACCUUCGGGCCUCACACCAUCGGAUGUGCCCAGAUGGGAUUAGCUAGUAGGUGGGGUAAUGGCUCACCUAGGCGACGAUCCCUAGCUGGUCUGAGAGGAUGACCAGCCACACUGGAACUGAGACACGGUCCAGACUCCUACGGGAGGCAGCAGUGGGGAAUAUUGCACAAUGGGCGCAAGCCUGAUGCAGCCAUGCCGCGUGUAUGAAGAAGGCCUUCGGGUUGUAAAGUACUUUCAGCGAGGAGGAAGGCAUUAAGGUUAAUAACCUUGGUGAUUGACGUUACUCGCAGAAGAAGCACCGGCUAACUCCGUGCCAGCAGCCGCGGUAAUACGGAGGGUGCAAGCGUUAAUCGGAAUUACUGGGCGUAAAGCGCACGCAGGCGGUCUGUCAAGUCGGAUGUGAAAUCCCCGGGCUCAACCUGGGAACUGCAUUCGAAACUGGCAGGCUAGAGUCUUGUAGAGGGGGGUAGAAUUCCAGGUGUAGCGGUGAAAUGCGUAGAGAUCUGGAGGAAUACCGGUGGCGAAGGCGGCCCCCUGGACAAAGACUGACGCUCAGGUGCGAAAGCGUGGGGAGCAAACAGGAUUAGAUACCCUGGUAGUCCACGCCGUAAACGAUGUCGACUUGGAGGUUGUGCCCUUGAGGCGUGGCUUCCGGAGCUAACGCGUUAAGUCGACCGCCUGGGGAGUACGGCCGCAAGGUUAAAACUCAAAUGAAUUGACGGGGGCCCGCACAAGCGGUGGAGCAUGUGGUUUAAUUCGAUGCAACGCGAAGAACCUUACCUACUCUUGACAUCCAGAGAACUUAGCAGAGAUGCUUUGGUGCCUUCGGGAACUCUGAGACAGGUGCUGCAUGGCUGUCGUCAGCUCGUGUUGUGAAAUGUUGGGUUAAGUCCCGCAACGAGCGCAACCCUUAUCCUUUGUUGCCAGCGGUUCGGCCGGGAACUCAAAGGAGACUGCCAGUGAUAAACUGGAGGAAGGUGGGGAUGACGUCAAGUCAUCAUGGCCCUUACGAGUAGGGCUACACACGUGCUACAAUGGCAUAUACAAAGAGAAGCGACCUCGCGAGAGCAAGCGGACCUCAUAAAGUAUGUCGUAGUCCGGAUUGGAGUCUGCAACUCGACUCCAUGAAGUCGGAAUCGCUAGUAAUCGUAGAUCAGAAUGCUACGGUGAAUACGUUCCCGGGCCUUGUACACACCGCCCGUCACACCAUGGGAGUGGGUUGCAAAAGAAGUAGGUAGCUUAACCUUCGGGAGGGCGCUUACCACUUUGUGAUUCAUGACUGGGGUGAAGUCGUAACAAGGUAACCGUAGGGGAACCUGCGGUUGGAUCACCU
Molecule: ribosomal RNA, 1528 nt
Filed under: Kluyvera cryocrescens
Lineage: Bacteria; Pseudomonadati; Pseudomonadota; Gammaproteobacteria; Enterobacterales; Enterobacteriaceae
Description: bacterial SSU rRNA
Rfam family: Bacterial small subunit ribosomal RNA
Source: RNAcentral